Molecule: long non-coding RNA, 668 nt
Filed under: Ananas comosus (pineapple)
Lineage: Eukaryota; Viridiplantae; Streptophyta; Magnoliopsida; Poales; Bromeliaceae
Description: long non-coding RNA (ACOM_LNC036902)
Source: RNAcentral
ACGUACUACAACAAAAACGGUAUAUAGCGACACUUUUAAAUAUAGGUACAUGUCAAAAAAGUGCUGCUAGCUAAAAUUACCGACACUUUUAAAAAGUGUUGCUAUGUGUGGGGUCGCUAGGUAUAUAGUGACAGUUAAAGAGUGUCGCUAUAACCUAAAAGAGUGCUGCUAAUUUACCAAUACUUAUUUAAGCAUUUAGCAACCGCCGAAACUCUAUCUCAUUGGCUGCGGUGGCGGAGGAGAAUGACAGGAAAGGCUCUUCGUCUAGAAUUUCAGUGGAUUGAGUGAAGAAAGAAGAAAAUAUAGUAAUUGAUUUUUUUUUCUUUUCUGUUUGUAAUCGGACCAAAUGGACUGGGUGUGGUGGGUUGAGUAGAGUAAUUUUUUAUUUUUGGUUGGAUUGGGCUUUAUAUUUAGGCAUUAGUAGAUGUUUUUCUAAGUUUUAGCAUAAAUGGGACACUUACUCAAAAGUGUCCCAAACAUGUGUCCCUAUAACCUAAUUCUGUUGUAGUGACGCAGUUAAUCAUGUGCGUGAAUUCCCUCUCGUACUCCCGCACUGAUCGGCUUCCCUGCCUCAAUUUUCGAAAAUCUUCCUUGAUCUUCCUUUUAUCGCUCUCGGGGAAAUACUCCAUAAAUAGCAUCUCCCGAAACACCUCCCAAGAAAUAUAAGC